GAUGAACGCUGGCGGCGUGCUUAACACAUGCAAGUCGAACGAAGUGGAGAUCUUCGGAUUGAAACUUAGUGGCGGACGGGUGAGUAACGCGUGGGUAACCUGCCUCGUACAGGGGGAUAACAGUUAGAAAUGACUGCUAAUACCGCAUAACCCGCUAAGGUCGCAUGACCUGGACGGAAAAGAUUUAUCGGUACGAGAUGGACCCGCGUCUGAUUAGCUAGUUGGUGAGGUAACGGCUCACCAAGGCGACGAUCAGUAGCCGGUCUGAGAGGAUGAACGGCCACAUUGGGACUGAGAUACGGCCCAGACUCCUACGGGAGGCAGCAGUGGGGAAUAUUGGGCAAUGGGGGAAACCCUGACCCAGCAACGCCGCGUGAAGGAAGAAGGCCUUCGGGUUGUAAACUUCUUUUAGCAGGGACGAAGAACGUGACGGUACCUGCAGAAAAAGCAACGGCUAACUACGUG
Molecule: ribosomal RNA, 465 nt
Filed under: uncultured bacterium
Lineage: Bacteria
Description: bacterial SSU rRNA
Rfam family: Bacterial small subunit ribosomal RNA
Source: RNAcentral